UUUGCACUUACAUUUGAUGGGAACAAAUGGGGUCAUAAUGGUCCUUAUUUGGUUUCAAGGGUUGUGUCAAGGGUAAGUGGAAGAGAUGGAUACAAUUUCACUGUUUUGCCCCCAAUGGCUUUUUAUCCAGUUGAUUGGAAUAGGAUUGGUAGUCUAUUUCUUGGGCCGAGGAACGAGACUCAGUCGAAAUGGUUGCUCUUGAAACUCCAGCAAAUUCAGAGUGGAAGUUUGGCAGUGCAUCUUUGGAACAAGCAAAGUAGAGAACUUGAGGUUGAAGAAGGAAGCAUAAUUCAACAUAUAAUGUCAGAUUGUUGUGUUUUCUGCAAUUCUUACUCAUCAAAGUUGUAAGUAUACACCACGUAAAAUCAGCGUCAGCGUGUUUUAUUCUUCAUUAAUUGUUGUAGGAUAAUGGACCACCUAAGCUCAUUACAUAGGUUGUCUUGAAGAAAUUAGGUGGUACAGAAAUAAUGCAGGAUCCAUGUAUUCUACUUCAUUGUCG
RNAcentral lists this unclassified non-coding RNA (499 nucleotides) under Hevea brasiliensis (rubber tree). The record is from RNAcentral. Lineage: Eukaryota; Viridiplantae; Streptophyta; Magnoliopsida; Malpighiales; Euphorbiaceae.